ACAUCCAGAGAACUUAGCAGAGAUGCUUUGGUGGCCUUCGGGAACUCUGAGACAGGUGCUGCAUGGCUGUCGUCAGCUCGUGUUGUGAAAUGUUGGGUUAAGUCCCGNAACGAGCGCAACCCUUAUCCUUUGUUGCCAGCGGUUCGGCCGGGAACUCAAAGGAGACUGCCGGUGAUAAACCGGAGGAAGGUGGGGAUGACGUCAAGUCAUCAUGGCCCUUACGGCCAGGGCUACACACGUGCUACAAUGGCGCAUACAAAGAGAAGCGACCUCGCGAGAGCAAGCGGACCUCAUAAAGUGCGUCGUAGUCCGGAUUGGAGUCUGCAACUCGACUCCAUGAAGUCGGAAUCGCUAGUAAUCGUAGAUCAGAAUGCUACGGUCGAAUACGUUCCCGGGCCUUGUACACACCGCCCGUCACACCAUGGGAGUGGGUUGCAAAAGAAGUAGGUAGCUUAACCUUCGGGAGGGCGCUUACCACUUUGUGAUUCAUGACUGGGGUGAAGUCGUAACAAGGUAAGCGUAGCGAG
RNAcentral lists this ribosomal RNA (527 nucleotides) under uncultured bacterium. RNAcentral describes it as "bacterial SSU rRNA". It matches the Rfam family "Bacterial small subunit ribosomal RNA", at positions 984 to 1509 of the family's 1533-position model. The record is from RNAcentral.